This 254-nucleotide ribosomal RNA is filed under the name uncultured bacterium. RNAcentral's name for it is "partial 16S ribosomal RNA". It matches the Rfam family "Bacterial small subunit ribosomal RNA", at positions 524 to 776 of the family's 1533-position model. The record is from RNAcentral.
UACAGAGGUCUCAAGCGUUGUUCGGAUUCAUUGGGCGUAAAGGGUGCGUAGGCGGACUCUUAAGUCGGUGGUGAAAUCCUGGAGCUCAACUCCAGAACUGCCUUCGAUACUGAGAGUCUUGAGUCCGGGAGAGGUGAGUGGAACUGCGAGUGUAGAGGUGAAAUUCGUAGAUAUUCGCAAGAACACCAGUGGCGAAGGCGGCUCACUGGCCCGGUACUGACGCUGGAGGUGCGAAAGCGUGGGGAGCAAACAGG